RNAcentral lists this ribosomal RNA (300 nucleotides) under uncultured bacterium. RNAcentral's name for it is "bacterial SSU rRNA". It matches the Rfam family "Bacterial small subunit ribosomal RNA", at positions 1082 to 1382 of the family's 1533-position model. The record is from RNAcentral.
AAGUCCCAUAACGAGCGCAACCCUUACCCUUAUUUGCCAGCGAUUCGGUCGGGAACUAUAAGGGGACUGCCGGUGAUAAACCGGAGGAAGGUGAGGACGACGUCAAGUCAUCAUGGCCCUUACGUGUAGGGCUACACACGUGCUACAAUGGGGAGUACAGAUAGACGCUAAAGCGCGAGCUGGUGCUAAUCUCAUAAAACUCUUCGUAGUCCGGAUUGCAGUCUGCAACUCGACUGCAUGAAGUCGGAAUCGCUAGUAAUCGCGAAUCAGCAUGUCGCGGUGAAUACGUUCUCGGGUCUU